RNAcentral lists this long non-coding RNA (404 nucleotides) under Lotus japonicus. RNAcentral describes it as "long non-coding RNA (LJAP_LNC000598)". Lineage: Eukaryota; Viridiplantae; Streptophyta; Magnoliopsida; Fabales; Fabaceae. The record is from RNAcentral.
AAGCAUCGAUCAUGAUCCAUCAUGGGAUAUCUCAUAUCUCAUAUCCAUUUCUAUUUUCUAACACCAAACAAACCACACUCGCAAAUCGCAACGCAAGUGUCUCUUGCAUUGUCGUUCCAUUUGGGCGCCAAAAAGAAUUCUAGGUUUUCAUUUUUGGCCCUCUUUCAUCUCUCAAUUUCACCCACUCACUCAGGUCUCUAUCUAUAAAUAUAAAUUGUUAAUUUGCUUCUGUGUCUCUACAUUCAUCACUCACACAGAAGAAAAACAACAAUAGUCUGAGAGAAACUAGGGUUUCGAAAAAUGUCAGGGAAGGGGAAGAAGAGGGACGACCUAGACCGCGCUUCCGACGCCGACUCCGACAGCCACGCUCCGCCCAAAAAGUCCCUCAAGAAAGAUUCUGAUGA